GAUCAAGCGCAAAAGGGCUUGCGGUGGAUUCCUUGGCGUCAAUGGGCGAUGAAGGGCGUAGCAAGCUGCGAUAAGCUUCGGGGAGCCGCUAACAGGCGUUGAUCCGGAGAUUCCCGAAUGGGGCAACCCUGCACAGGUCAUACUGUGUAAUCUCUGACUGAAUACAUAGGUCUUAGAAGCCAACCGGGGGAAUUGAAACAUCUUAGUACCCCGAGGAACAGAAAACAAAAGUGAUUCCCCUAGUAGUGGCGAACGAACGGGGAACAGCCUAAACCAAGCGUUACGUUAAAACCCGUGGGUGUUGUACGUUUGGGGUUGUGGGUCUCAAUUGGGCGGAACUACGGAGCCGCCGGAAUGUUACAAAAACAUGUUUUAGCUUAACAGGCUGGAAAGCCUGGCCAUAGAGGGUGAUA
Molecule: ribosomal RNA, 413 nt
Filed under: Nitrospinaceae bacterium
Lineage: Bacteria; Pseudomonadati; Nitrospinota; Nitrospinia; Nitrospinales; Nitrospinaceae
Description: partial 23S ribosomal RNA
Rfam family: Bacterial large subunit ribosomal RNA
Source: RNAcentral